CUGAAAUAAAGAAAUGAGACUGAGUAGGGGAGGUAUCUGACUGGUAAUAAGGUUUGAACUUUGGACCCAAAGUCGGCUAGCGUCAGCCUCUGGCCUUGCUAACUUGCUGCGCGAGCUUAAGUAAGCCACCGUUCCUGUCCCUUUUCCUCAACAGUGUAAGAGUCCCACUCGCCCCUAAGGGCCUACCGGAGUGGGAGAGAUGAAUCCUGAAAUCAACAGAAGUGCUUUAUGAGGACAUGGAGCCACAUGUGAUGGUGGGAGCUGGAGCAACCACUCUAUCCAGAAUGGGAAGCUGUGAUGAAAGAAGGCAGAGCUGCCCUAUGAGAUCCAGACCAUCUCCCUCUAAAGAGUUAAGUUAGAAACAAACUUUUGCCUUGCUUAAACCACUGUACUCUGGGGUCUCUAGUUACAGCAGCUUAGAAUCUACUCUGAAAAAUACAUCCCCUGCCCCUGUGAGGCAAACUAAGGAAUGAGAUGACAUACAACUGGCUUUAAUGUCUCCCUUGGGUCCAGGGCAUCCUAGUGGCCCUUUCCUGGCCCCUAACCAGCCCCAAGGAGGGGCACAUGGGUGACUCCACCUGAGACAGUGGGAAGCUGGGGCUGUGGGUUCCAGUGGGAAGGGGUGAUGGGGAGCCUCCUCCCCAGAGGUCUCAUCUACUAAGCUGGCUGAUGGUCCCAUCCCGCCCUGAGAACUGAACUCCUGGCCUUACAAAGAUUGGGUGGGCAGCCGACAAGACAGUGAGAUAUAAAGUAAGAAGGAAUGUCAAGGCCAGGUUUGGAACCAAAGGCUUCCCCAGGCCCCACACCUGUGUCAGCUUGGGAGGGGCUAGGGAGCACAGGUACCAUCCCACACAGUGUGUAUGUGGGGCAGGUGGGUGGCGUUCCUGCUCCCUCUGGCCCAGAACUCCUGAGGACACUAGAGAGCACCCAUCAGCUGGAUGCCACUUUUCAUGCCCUCCCACCUGGGUGUCCCCUCUUCUUCCUGGACCCAAAUGCAUCUAUUUACAGAGCCCUGGGAUCUCCUGGCAUCCACCCUUUCCCACUACGGGUCCAAAGCCCCAGGAGGCCAAAUGGUAGGCUUCUCCUCAACGGGAAUGCAGCUCUGCUCAGCUGCCCCGGCAGUUCCUGCAGGCUCCCUUCCCCACCCUGCCCGCCCUCCCCUGCUCCCCAGUAACCAUCAUGCACUCUCUGUUGGCCCCUCCUGGCCACAGCACUCUUAGUGAGUGGAAGGGCCUGCUCUCCUCUCCUGACAAGGAUGUUUUCUGAGCCCACAGGCCUGACCCUGGAUUCACAAGGGCCGGAGGAGGGAAGACUCCCCUGCCCAUCCAUGCAGGGUCCUCACAAGAAACACCCAGACUGCAGAAGGAGGCAGAAAGGCAGGCUCCACAAGGGACAAGCCUACAAGCAGGGGUCACUCUACAGCCAGCACAUCAUCCAGGCUGCUAGCGGACAUUUACUCAGGACCUGCCACGAGCCAGGAGCUGCCGAUGCAUGGGCUGGAGAGAAAUUAGGGGCCAAUUCAUGGGGCCAAUACUGGAGGAAGACUCUCACGGAACUCUGCCCUCUACAUUCCAGGCCUACAAAUACCACCGGCCUCUAACCCUCCGCAGACCCGCCUGGCCCUUGCUACAGUUUGCGAUUCCUCAUCUCUCUGAGCCUGACUCAGUUUACUUCCUUAUUGAGGUCAAGACAGCCACACCUUCUAGCUGGGCAGGGCUAGGCAGAGCGGGAGAGCCGUGGGCCUGGAACAUUCCUCCCAGGAGGUGGCGCCUCCAUCAUGACAGUCCUCUUGGCAGCUGGCACUUAACUGAGUGCCUUUGGGUGCCAGGUGCUGUGGCGCUCACCUUACUCCAUUAUCCUAACGGCGACUGGGCGGUGAGGCGAUGGGCACAGGGGCUGAGGACCAGCCUGAGAUUCAACUGGCAGCACCAGGACUCACACCUGCCCACCACCUCUGUGGGUCCUCACUCAGGAGUUCAGGAACAAAGUCUAAGCUGCUGCCUUGAGCCUUGCCCAGGGCAAAGGCCCCCUCACUUCUGCUCUGGCCCCCAGCAGGAGCCCCUAGGCCUGCGUUUGUGGGUCACAUGCCUCCCUGGCUCUGGCACAUGCCCAGACCAGCCACCAGAGCACUGUGCCCAAGAGAGCUGCACCUUCCCAGAUCCCCUCUGCCCAUGCCACCCCCACCUGUAACCGCGUGAGCCCCGCUGCCCACCCCCCACAAUCCUCUAGGCGCAAGGCUGGGCUGCAGUGACUUAAAACCGCAUUUCACAAAACCCAAGGUUCCCAGAAAGGCCAAGGGAGCCCCAGAGCCUCUUCCACCCCCCACCCAACUCCAAUGGAAACAGAUCACCUGGACAAGGUCCCGUGUUGGGGUUUCCAGUAGCUUGAAGGGGGUCUUGUGCUCUAAAAAGCUGGAAAACCUCUGAGGCCAGGCCUGGACUUCAGGAGCUCUGAGGGCUAGAAGCCCCUUAGAGGACCUGGCUCCUGCAGACCCUGCCCAUGUGCACGGCCCUCCUUCCGCAUUAUUUUUUUCCCAGCCCCGCUGGCCCAGAACUCAGAGACAGUGAGGGAGGGUCUCACAGCGAUUGCGCCCAUCACUCAGGGGUUUCCAUUUACUGUUUGCCAGCAGUGUUUCUCCUCACGUUAGCCCCCAUCGCUAUCACAGAUGAGGAAGGGGGUUCACAGUCUGGGUGACCAGCCUGGUUCACCCUCUAAGAGCAGCAAAGUGUCCAACCCAGACCCUGGGGCCUCUCGUUCCCCACCACCCGACCCUGCCUUGGCCUCUGCCUGCCUCUCCCUGGGUCCCCCCAGGCCCACCCUCCCCUCACCUGACCCGGUACCUGCCUCGGCGAGGCAGUGUCCCGGCAUCACUGCUGCAUUGUGCCUCCCGAUCCCAUGCCUGGCCUUCAUGGCUUGGCGGCAGCUGUUUCCUCCCUGGAGGCUAUCCCCCAACCCCCAGGCUGAGCUCAGGUGGCAGGGAGCUACAUGGGGACCCAACCUUGGCCUGGCUUGGUGCCAGCUCUGCCCUUCACCCGAGCUGGUUUCCUGGCUCCACCUCUUCCCAACUGGGUGGCCUCACCUCUCUUGGCCUCAGUCUCCUCAACUACGAGAUACAAACAGGUAACCAAGUGGCAGGGCGAGGCAGCCCCAGCCUGCAGAAGCCAAUCCGCAGAGCCGAGGUGGGAGCAUCGCGGUUUCCAUCUUACAGGUGAGGAGCCCGUCUGUGCUCUGAGCUCAGUGAACUGCAUCCCCAACUCCUCUCAGAGCCUUGUCCUACUCCCUCUCUGGGCGAAAGUUCACUGUGAACUGUGCCCUGGCUCCUGGGCACUGUCAAAUGGGACAUGGAGGUACACGCAAAAGAGCCCGGAAGUAAACUCUCCACUGGUAGGACCCAGUGCCUCAAACAAAGUGAGUCUGGGGGUGGGGCAAGGAGCUGGGAGACCUAGGUCUGAUUCCAACAAUGCCCAUCAGAGAACCUGGGCCAUUCACCUGCACAUGGGCCCAGCGCUCCACCCUGUUGGGGUGCGAGUAGGCCAGGGAGAGGGGCUCUCUGGGAGUGGGAGCAAGGCUGGCCACAGGUGAGAAAUCAGCAGGCUCAGAAGAGACCCCCUAACAGCUACUGUACUGCCUAGCUCCACGUUCAAGUCCACCACUGGCAAAGCACUCGUUCUUUGUGUUAGGAAUGACCCUCUCCAGGGUCCUCCUGAGAGAAUGAAGACGUAAGUCAGACCCUGGUGCAGAAGACAGUUGGCUGGUGGAGCUGCGCUCAUGUGUGCUGCUGAGGGGAUGGAUGCAUCGGGGGCCUUUAACUGCCUCACUCCUGGGAUUCCUUCUCCCCCCUCACGCCCCACCUGAGCCCUUGCCUCCCUGAGGGGCGGAGUACCGUCAACCCCAGCCUACUUAGGAGCCCCCAUCAGCCUGAAGAGAAACUUCCUGUUGGCCUGUCUGCCUGCCCCAUGGCCCCACUGUGCCUCAGUGUCUCCAUCUGUCAGACAGGAUGAGCCCCACCCAGGAGGGUGGCUGAAGGCCAGAACGAGGAGAGUUGAGAGGACACCCUGCAUGGGGGACAUCCCAACGGCCCAGAGGCCCAGUCAUCCCUGCAGGGGGAGGGCUGAGAGAGGCAGGGCAGUGUGCAGUGCUGGAAGGGAGAAGGAAGAAGAGAGCGGAGGCCAGGGUCCGGCCAGGGUGGGGCCAAGGUAGCAGGAGUGGAGCACAAGCCUGCAAUAACUAAUUGGGCAGAUUAUUAAUCAUUAAUAGAGCUUCUGAUCAGAGGAUAGAGAACCCAGCUUCUUCCAGUUCAUGAACAGGAACACGCUGCCAGUCCUUCAACGAAUGUAGACUGAGCGCCACCUCACACAGGCCUGUUGUUCACAUCCGUACAGAGCCCACUGAGGUCAGUGCGGAGAGAAUCCCCCCAGGGGGCCCCGCACCUUGGGCUUGCGACUCCUGGCCCACCUCUCAGCCACUCGGCCUUCCAGACCCAAAUGACCCACCCUGCCCCGUCUGGACAAGAGAGGGCAGCCAGAGCAGACAAGCCUAGUGGACGGGGUUCAGGGCCCGAGACCAGCUCUGCCCUGCCUCAGUUUCCACAUCUGUGGAAUGGAGAUGAGAACGCCCACACCUCCAGGUUCACGGUGAGGGAAAACAAGGCCGGGUAGGCCAGGGCUGAGUGCUUUCUGCCUCUACAAGAGCGGAAACGCAUUUCUGGGCCCCGGCGCUAUGUGAGAUGCCCCUCAGCCCCAUCUCUCUAGAGACAGCGGGGGCAAGGCACUGCAGUGGGGCCUUAGAUUGGGGCACUGCAAUGGGGCCUGGAAUCUGGCUUCAAGGGGAACUGGAUUCAAAUCUGGCUCCCGGCCCUUCUUGACCCCCUGUGUGAUCCUGGGCAGGUCACUUAAUAUUCCUGGGCCUCAGAGUCCCCAUCUGCAAUGAGGGACCUUCCCAGGCCCUCAUCCCAUGAGGAUUAAACAUGGUAAUAUCCAAAGAGCCUUGACAGAGACCAGAUCUCUGAGCUCCUGAGCGGAGGUUCAUGCUCGCCCUCCACACGGCCUCACCACGUGGCUGGAUGGCCUGGCUAUGAGGCCUGUUGGCACCUCCCUCCAAAAUGCCCCUAGGACCGAGCCCCACUCAUCCUCUUCAGUGGCCUCCCUCCUGCCUUUUUUUUUCCUGUCUUGAAAUUCAUAAUUUUUGAACAAAGGGCCCACAUUUUCAUUUGGCACCGAGCCCCACAGAUUCUGUCACUGCAAAGUCCCCAUCAGGACACUACCCCAACCCCACUCAAACCCCUUAACAUACUGAGAAUAAAAUCCAGGCUCCUCACAGUGCCCGGAGGCCCUGCCAGUCUGGUCCCUGAGGCUUUGCUGACCUCACCUCCCUCAUCCUCUCGGCUCAGUCCCCACCUUUCUGCCCCUCCCACAUCCCAGGCUCACCUGUCUCAGGGUCCUCGCACUGGCUGUUCCCUCUGCCUGAAUGCCCUUCCCUCAGAUCUCCAUUUGCUGGCUGCCUGCUCAGAGGGGCCUUCCUGACCAGCCAGCUAAAGCGGCUGUUCCCUCCCCAGGUCAUCGGCUUCACAACACUCCUCCCUGCGGAAGCUAUCUGUCUCAUUGUUUAUGUGUUAGUGGUCUGUCUCCCCCACCCACACCCUGCUCAUUUGGAAUGUCAACAAGAGGAGAGCAGGGUCACCAUGGGCUUCAGUCACCGGUCACUGCUGCUCCCCACCCCCUAGGACAAAGCCUGGCCUGGAGCAGGAGCUCCACAAACAGUUGAUGAUGGAACUCUUAUGAGAAGUGAUGAUCAACUCCCAGUGGCAAGUAUCUGGUUUGGGGGUGCCUGGGGCAGCAGGCCUGCCGGUGCAUACCCACACCUAGCAGAGUGCUCUCCACAGCACCAGUGGCCCAGAGAAAGCCCCCUAUCCCCCGAGCCCUGCUGAGAUCAGCGCCACCCAGCCCAGGCAUCCCGGGCAGUGCCAGCCCCUCCCGCCAGGCUUGCCCAUCCUCCAGGGACAAUGUACAAAGGGCCACUUCAGUGCUGAGCCUCAGCUCUAUCUCCAGCCCAGAAAGCCUGAGUGUGGGGGAAGGGAGGGAAGGGCACACCCCACCCCUCCUCUGUCCUCACGGGGUUUCUCUAGCACAGGCAGGGCAGGCAACAGAACCAAGCUUCAACAGGAUCAAGCCACAGCUGGAGAGACUUCGUUCCAUGUGCUGCACCCUGGAGGCUGGGGGAGUAGGGGAGUGCCAAUGCAGGGGGGUGCCCAUGUCCAGGGUGGGGAUGCCCACACGCAGGGUGGAGGCAAAGGUUGGUCCUUGUGUUCCUAGGCAGCAGGAGUGGAAGGUGUCCUAGGGGAAUCUCCCCAUGCGUACAGGAUAGCAGGUGGUAGGUAUUGGUACACUUGAGAAGCCCAAGUGCCAGUAGUGAGAAGGGAGAGAGAGGAGCAGAGCCAGUGGGAUCUGGGCCAGGCCUCAGGGAGGGCAGGGCCUGGGCUUUAGAAUCAGUUCCCAUCCUGCCUGGGAUCCUCCACUACAAAAUAAGACACAAAGAACUCACUCAAACAGUUGUUCCAACAACCUGAGCUGAUAAACUGACCUGAGCCUGGCACGCAGGGACACUUGGAUAACUUUGGGCAUUACGAACUUUCCUCCUUCUGGGCCCUGUCAGUGAUGUAACCAUCCACCUAGCUGCCCACCCUUAGGAGCACAGGACCCCCCCUAAGUCCUCACUCUCACUGAUCCCACACACCUUUCACCAAGGCUUGUCUAUUUCAUGCCCCAUACUUCUCAAUUCCCACCCCUUUCCCUGUGUCACUAUCCCGUGCUGGUUCUGCCACCACCAUGCUCACCUGGAUGGCAGCAGUGGCCUUCCUAAGGAGCUCCCAGCCUGGUCCCCAUGAGCCAAGCAAAAGCUACAUCUGACGCUGCCCUUCCUAGCUGGGAACCGUUGGCCUCAGGAUAAAGUCCAGAUCUUCUAGGAGGCUUGAAGUUUCUGUGUAAUCUUACACUCCCCAUCCCCAUGCCGGUCUCGGGAGGGUUUGGCUGAACUGGACUUCCUCCAGGCCUCCCUGACCCCAGGCUGUGGAAAGAGCCGAGCUGCCUUUUCAGGGCCCCCAGCUCCAGCAUAGAGCCUGACACCGAGGUGUGUUGAAUGAAUAAAAGACCCUCUCCCCAAA
Molecule: long non-coding RNA, 7159 nt
Organism: Camelus dromedarius (Arabian camel)
Lineage: Eukaryota; Metazoa; Chordata; Mammalia; Artiodactyla; Camelidae
Exons: 4
Source: RefSeq, a predicted model, not a curated record